CCACCAAAAAAAGCAGCUCCGGUUGCCCCUAGCCAAACUGCCAGGUGUGGGAGUUGUAAUUUUUCUUCUUUCCCCCCCAUUCCUUCUCCUCUCCCCCCGCCCCCCAAGCAGUUCCCUUUGUGCUGCGACCCUGCCUUCCCACUCCCCCCCGCCACACCGUCUGCUCCCUCCACCGCACUCCCACCCCACCCCGCCUUUCCCAUCCCCGCCAGAGAGACCACACAACAUUAUGGUUUCAUGCAGCAGAGAGAGCUUCCAUGGCAUGCACAGCUCUUAUAUACCCUGUUCAAAAGACUCUGUGUUUGAACCGGACUGGCUACGAAUGCUAACCACCCAGUUCACUUGGUGAAUAGCUACCUGCUAACCUUCACCAUCAGGGGCUGGCUGGCAUCUCCUUUCUGUAGCUAAACUCCUCCUCCUUUCAGGCUCACAGACCAGCUGUUUUGCCAUCAUAGUUCCCCCUUUCUGUUAUAAAAUAUAAACCCCAUGUUUAUCAUCCCUCUGUGGGGCCCCUUGCAAGAAGGACAACAAGCACGGUACAAGGAGAAUUAAAUUCUUCACUAAGUUCCACAAGCCUAAUCUUUCUAAUUAUUGGUGUGCCCCAUCAAAAUUUUUACUGUUACGUCCAGGAGCUAUCAAAGGCACAGUUUUACUGGGUGGCAUGCUGCAGACUAAUUACUUAAAACUUACACCUUACAACUUGAAUGCGGGUUACAAACAAACCAGUUUAAAAACUAUCAACACAAGAGGAAGUAAAACAUAAAUAUGGAUCUAUAAAACUUCUCUUAACAUAUUCAUAAUAUUUGCCUUUUAAUUGUGAGAGUCAACCAUUGCAUUACUCAUCUAUCACUCUUGGGACACUUCACCAGCGUCUGCUCAGCAGAUGGAGCAUGUGUGCAAGAGAGGGGGACCAGAGGAGUUGAACCUCUGGGCAAGACCACACUCCUUCCAAGAAACAAAAAAAGCCAGCAGGGCAAAUUGUGUCACAGUUAAAUGCUUUUAUGUGCUAAGGUUCCUUCCAUAGCCUGGGCAUUUUUUGCCAGGCAUCUGGGGCUCUGUCCCACCACAAGGAGGGUUUCAGUCAGUCGGUCACUCAUGUGCUUGCAGCCAGUUCAUGGAAGAUUUCUCUGCUCUGUUUGUCUGUCAGGCUAAGUCCCCUCAGAGAUAGGGCUUCCCGCCAUUUUCCAAAGGGUUUGCCUGUUUAGAGACUGUAAUAUCAGCAGUCUCCUUCCCCCUCACAUGUCCCAGAUGCCUCUUGCAUGUGGCAGGUGUUAAUGCUCCCCGCAUGUGUACGGCCCCUUUAGUAUUUUUCACCCUGAUGUCUUGUGAAGGCUGACCUAGAACAGAGGCUAGAUGGAGUUAAAGAAUAAAGUAGGUAUUUAUUAAAAGGCCUCAAUAGAUACACCUUGGGCAGCAUAAGAGCCCAGCCAGGGCUACACCCCAGGUGAACCCAAAAUGGUCAUAAAAUGGAUGACCAGUCAUGGAGUCUCUCACUUUUAUAAGUUCUGGUCUAUUAGCAUAUUGUAGCUAAUUGUCCAGUUACAGCUCCAGACCAUGAAGUUCCAUCCUCCUUGUUUUUCUCUUUUCAAUCCAUAUUCUUUAUGCUCUUAGGUCUGAGAUCUGGAUCUGCUGUCCUUGGUCUCAGCUAGAGAAGGAAUUGUUUUGUCUACCUAUUCUGUGAAGAGAGAAUUAUAUGAAGCCCACACCCACACACUAAAGCAGCACAGAAUCUGAAAAAUAUAAAAGCUAAAACCUGAAGCAUCAACCCCAUGUCAGAAAAUGGAUAUAUAACAUAUGUUGAGGCAUAAAUAAAAAUUAAAUUGGUUUGUCUCAGUAAACCACAAGCAAACCAUGCUGUUUCAACAAACUGUUUAAUUACCUGUAGUUCAAGCAAGUAGCAGGAAUAACUCCAGCAUAGAAACCUACAGUUUUAGUCCUUUUCCCCCUCCAGUAAAGCUGGAAGAGGCAAAAUCUCCUGCAACAUCCCAAAUAAAGGAGUAACACCCAGAAUGCAGGAGGAUCCAAUUACCCAUGGUGAUGCCUUCACAGCCUCCAUUUUCUGCAGCAGGUGAGCAGGACAAGAAAAGCACACAACCAAGUAAUGCCUUUCUGAAGAACAGAAUUAUCUGUGUCACAGCAGGGAUGGCACUCCACUGAAAUGUGCCAACCCAUGGGCAACACACAAAGCGAGCUCCAAUGUCCUUUAACAUAAAAUUCCUUCUGUCCUUGUUUGUCCCCUCAUCCUCUAUAUGCCUCUGUCCUCUCAGCUCUCCUCUCACUCUUUGCUAACCACCCACAGGGAGAAAACAGCACCUACACUCAGUGAUUGCAGCCACAAAAGUACUGUAGAGCUGCAUCAUAUAUUUGCUUAUACGCUGCCAAGCAUUACAAGUAACUUAGUUUAGCUACUAAUUUCUUCAUCCAUCACUCAGCUGGAACUGUGUGUUUCUCCCAUAUGCCUGGUAAAGCAGAAGUUGGGGUGGCUAAUUGGCUCAAAUUUUUUGACAGAAACAGCUCACCAGGUGGGUAAAAGAAUCACGGCACAUUCUUCUCUGGGUUGGAAUUCUUUGUCUUUGUUUUGAGUUUUUUGUGGUUUUUUUCUUUCCCAGAAAAACAGAUUUUAAAAAGUAGUAUCACAACAUCAAAGCCUGUUGCACAGACAUAAGAAAUCUUGAUUGAAGUAUUUCACUCUGAUUUUCCAAGUGCUGAGUACCAGCUUGCAGUUUGAAUUAUGAUUUUUAGUUGCAAUUGUCUUAUGUUUUGAAGAAGGAAAUGAAAAUAAAAUUGAAAUUCUGUACCUACAUCAACACAGGCAAAAAAGUAAACCUGAAAUUGUUAGAUGGACUUCAUCAUCUGCAGAAUUUUCAGCUUUGUGAACAGCUGCCAGCAGCAACAGGCUGUCACCCUUCAGAGAGGUGAACUAGAGGGACUAAAUGGCACUGGAGGGAGGUGAAAAUCCUUGCCAGCUGUUUUCACAGAUAACUGCUGACAGCAAAGGAGCAAUGUGCAGUUUGGAUAAAUUCUGGAAUCUUAAGCUUUGCUCUGGCCUGUGAGGUGUAUUUUCAAGACCAAACCUUUCCUCUGAUCUCCUUUAGUCUUGCAUUAUGUCUAUUCUCUGCUGUGGCAUUGCUCUCCUUAAUGAUCCAUCUCAAAAUUAUCUUUCAACAUUUUCCAUGGUUCAUCACAGCUUUUGUGUAGCAACUCAAAAAUUCUCUUUUUGAAAGUGAAGGACAGGAAAAUUUUAAUUUAUAUGGUAUUCAGACUCCAUACUAACAAGACUGAGUCAACAAUGGCCAGACCUCUGCGAAUUGCAAAAUAUCACUGUUGUUACUCUAAGAUAUUUAAGUGCUGAAGCAGACUGUGCUGUGCUGCAUGCCUUUUUUUUUUUUUUUUUUUUUUUUUUUAAUUAAGAAAACCUAAACAAUACAAAAGCAAAAAAAGAAGAACUCUGGCAUAAAGCACAUCUACAGGCUGUUUUGGGAUUCUCACAAUUUUUUGAAAGUGAAAGGAUGAAAAAACCCUACAUUUUGGAAACCAUAGUUUGUGAUUCAGUCAUUAAGGCAGCUGUUCCAGGGGGCUAACAUAUUUUGCCAUGUACCAGAGCAGUUCCAGAGAUAAAGAGCCAUUCAGAAAAGCCUACCAUUUGAGAAACUACUGUUAGAUGCAGUUAAAAUAGCUUCUUUUACUAGUAAUUUGUGAAAAUGAAGAAAUAGAAAAUUUAAGUGCAUACAUCCAUCACAGCAUUUUUAAUCUACAAGAUAAAUAUAGACUCUUAUCCAACAAAAUAUUAGUCUAAGAUUUUUAUUCCAGUAGCUUGGUCUACAAAAACUGCUUUUAAUCACAGAGGCUUUAUCCUUUAAGCAGAAGGCUGUGGUUUGUCUUCUUGAAGCUCAGGAGCCUGCUUUUGCCUUUGCAUUAUUCCAGUUAUUCCUAAGUAGAUCCAGGAGCAACAGGCUAUAUCUUUGUUGGAACACUAUUAUAAUUUGCUUUAUGAUGGGGGAAGGAGCAUGUGUUGCUUUGUGCUGUGGGUAGGAAUGUCAUUAAUGCUGUCGUUUCCCUUUCAACAUUUUCCAAACUUCUUCUUGAAGAGAAAAGAGUCAGACACACCUUAUGCAACACACUUUCUAUAUAAAUAGUACAUAAUAUACCUUAUUUGGCUCUGGUUUAGAAUCAUUGCCAUUCUGUGAUGGCUGAAAUGGGGUCUCAGAUGCAUGCUCAUGCAUGUAGCACAUGAAGGUUGGGAGCACAGUGGCAUUCAAACCUGUUAUUCAUAAUAAAUGUAAUUUUUGUGAAGCUAAUACUGAGAAAACAAGGCCAUUUAGCUGUUUGGUUCUUUCUUAGUCCCUAAGAAUGCCUGUCCAUUUGAACACCUGUUGAAUAGCCCUUCACAGGGAUUUUGCUCUCUGUGUGCAAGUGGUUAGAGACAGGCUUUGCCAUGGCCUAAAGGGCUUGUAAUUUGUACCAGUUUGAAAGCUUCUACCAAACUUUUGUGUUGUUACACUACCAGUAUAUGCCACUGCCAAGACAGAGCAACACAGAAAGACCACAGCAAGCUGAACGAGAUUUGGGAGGAGCAGAGCCCAGCACACCCAAGGCAGGAGCCAGCCACCACUUAUAAAGUACCUAUGGCUACUACCUGCAAACAGGUUUUCUUCCCGAAGCAGGAGCCUUAAAAUGUUUACUCCUAGAUGUUACUGUGCAAGGAGUGGUAUCAUCUGAAAUAUUUAUGCAGGGGGAAAAUUAGGUCAUGCACAGCCAGAUGUCUUAUGCUUACAAUCACAAAUCCAAACUCAGGAGCAAACACGUUGUUAUUUUCCCUGUGAUCCAAUUUUAAAAUGCUAACAUGUAGUUUUGUAAUAUUUUGACUUGAUUUUAAAACCUUUUGUUUACAUUUUAGCAUGGAAUGUUACAAAGGUAUAACUACACACAAUAGUUUGGACCAAAAGUAAGGAAUCAAUGUACAUAUCAGGACAACAAUGACAUAGAAGGAGUUCAUAUGGCAUGGUUUAGUUAAGUCUACUGCUUCUCUUAGCACAUGUAUUUAGGACAUGCUGAGUGGCUUGACUGGAAGCUACUCUCUACAGCAGAGUUGUUAGUCACAGAAGCAUUUCUCUAGGCAAUGCAAAUCAUCUCUUGCAGCACUGAAUACUGGCCAUAAUGGCCAAUGUGUGGGUGGGACAAACUGCAGAGUUUCUUUUAUGUCUUCAAGGAAGAGUAUGAGGUUUCACACCGGAAUCAGCUGGUUGAUUGCCACAAAUAUUUGCAUUAAACUUUCCAAAGGUGUCCACUCUGCUUA
RNAcentral lists this long non-coding RNA (5296 nucleotides) under Taeniopygia guttata (zebra finch). RNAcentral describes it as "lncRNA (ENSTGUG00000020820.1)". The record is from RNAcentral. Lineage: Eukaryota; Metazoa; Chordata; Aves; Passeriformes; Estrildidae.